Molecule: transfer RNA, 73 nt
Filed under: Bacteroidota bacterium
Lineage: Bacteria; Pseudomonadati; Bacteroidota
Also listed under: 2 other names
Description: Bacteroidetes bacterium (mine drainage metagenome) tRNA-Thr
Rfam family: tRNA
About the family: Transfer RNA (tRNA) molecules are approximately 80 nucleotides in length. Their secondary structure includes four short double-helical elements and three loops (D, anti-codon, and T loops).
Source: RNAcentral
GCCUUCUUAGCUCAGCUGGUAGAGCAACUCAUUCGUAAUGAGUAGGUCGCAGGUUCGAAUCCCGUAGAAGGCU